UACGAAGGACCCGAGCGUUAUCCGGAUUUAUUGGGUUUAAAGGGUGCGUAGGCGGACUUAUAAGUCAGUGGUGAAAUCCCUCAGCUUAACUGAGGAACUGCCAUUGAAACUAUUUGUCUUGAGUACAUUUGAGGCGGGCGGAAUGUGUCAUGUAGAGGUGAAAUUCUUAGAUAUGACACAGAACACCAAUUGCGAAGGCAGCUCGCUAAACUGUAACUGACGCUGAGGCACGAAAGCGUGGGUAGCAAACAGGAUUAGAUACCCUGGUAGUCCACGCCCUAAACUAUGAUAACUCGAUGUGUGCGAUACACUGUACGCGUCUAAGCGAAAGCAUUAAGUUAUCCACCUGGGAAGUACGACCGCAAGGUUGAA
Molecule: ribosomal RNA, 372 nt
Filed under: uncultured bacterium
Lineage: Bacteria
Description: bacterial SSU rRNA
Rfam family: Bacterial small subunit ribosomal RNA
Source: RNAcentral